RNAcentral lists this unclassified non-coding RNA (337 nucleotides) under soil metagenome. RNAcentral describes it as "partial contains 5.8S ribosomal RNA, internal transcribed spacer 2, and large subunit ribosomal RNA". The stretch from base 1 to 120 matches the Rfam family "5.8S ribosomal RNA", at positions 35 to 154 of the family's 154-position model. The record is from RNAcentral.
GAUGAAGAACGUAGCGAAAUGCGAUAAGUAGUGUGAAUUGCAGAAUUCAGUGAAUCAUCGAAUCUUUGAACGCACAUUGCGCCCCAUGGUAUUCCGUGGUGCAUGCCUGUUCGAGCGUCAUUUACCCCCUCAAGCUCCGCUUGGUGUUGGGCGUCUGUCCCGCUUCGCGCGCGGACUCGCCCCAAAGGUAUUGGCAGCGGUCGUGCCAGCUUCUCGCGCAGCACAUUGCGCUUCUCGAGGCACCGGUGGGCCCGCGUCCAUCAAGCUCACCCCCCCAGUUUGACCUCGGAUCAGGUAGGGAUACCCGCUGAACUUAAGCAUAUCAAUAAGCGGAGGA